UACGUAGGGCGCAAGCGUUAUCCGGAAUUAUUGGGCGUAAAGAGCUCGUAGGCGGUUUGUCGCGUCUGCCGUGAAAGUCCGGGGCUCAACUCCGGAUCUGCGGUGGGUACGGGCAGACUAGAGUGAUGUAGGGGAGACUGGAAUUCCUGGUGUAGCGGUGAAAUGCGUAGAUAUCAGGAGGAACGCCGGAGGCGAAAGCGAGUGACUGGCGCGUUCCUGACGCUGAGGUGCGAAAGCUAGGGGAGCAAACAGG
This 253-nucleotide ribosomal RNA is filed under the name uncultured bacterium. Its description in RNAcentral is "partial 16S ribosomal RNA". It matches the Rfam family "Bacterial small subunit ribosomal RNA", at positions 524 to 776 of the family's 1533-position model. The record is from RNAcentral.